This 678-nucleotide long non-coding RNA is filed under the name Medicago truncatula (barrel medic). RNAcentral describes it as "lncRNA gene2688". Lineage: Eukaryota; Viridiplantae; Streptophyta; Magnoliopsida; Fabales; Fabaceae. The record is from RNAcentral.
GAUAAAUGCAAUUAGUUGGGAUGCAGCCCACUACUCUCACCACUACACCUUCAUUCACGGAAGUAACAGAGAAGUGACCCAUUAUUUACACCACCACCGUUUCACAUUAUAUAUGUAUAGGAGCCUUAGUAGGAAAACCCAGUUCUUUUGCUCUGAAGUGCUGCAGAACAGAGGUAAUUCUAGUGCAAUCGAUCAACUUCUUAUUUUCCUCAAAAUUCCCAAUUGAUUUUCUCUACCUGUCAUCUUUGAUUCCGAAAAUUCAAGUAGUAGCCAUCAGUUCAAUUUCCCUUCAGCGAUCAUCCUCAGGAUGAGACUGAGGAGUAAUGUCAAGGUGAUUCCACUAGGAUGGAGUGGAGAACUAUUAUUCCACUUAUGUCAUUAUGUUUUGCUGGAGACUUUUGUCGGAUCGUGACUUUCAUCUAUUUGGGUUGUUAGGCUCUGAUAUUGUGACAUCGGGGUCGGAUUUAAUAAAGUAGUUGUGAAUUUAUUUUGUGAUUUAUUUCAUUUUGAAAACUAUCCGUUAUAUUAGUUUUAUUAUGAAGAAGUUUGUAAGUCUCAAAUAGCCAAAGAUAUUUCUCUUUCAAUUUAUGAUGUUGGAUUUUAAUAUGUGGUUCACGUGAUAUCCUUUACCAUUCGAAAAUGUUUUUGAAGUAUUAUUAUUAUUGUUGUUGUUGUUGU